GACAGAGGGUGCAAACGUUGUUCGGAAUUACUGGGCGUAAAGCGUGUGUAGGCGGUCCUAUAAGUCGGGUGUGAAAGCCCCGGGCUCAACCCGGGAAGUGCACUCGAAACUGCAGGGCUGGAGUACUGGAGAGGUUGGUGGAAUUCUCGGUGUAGAGGUGAAAGUCGUAGAUAUCGAGAGGAACACCGGCGGCGAAGGCGGCCAACUGGACAGAUACUGACGCUGAGACACGAAAGCGUGGGGAGCAAACAGG
This 253-nucleotide ribosomal RNA is filed under the name uncultured bacterium. RNAcentral describes it as "partial 16S ribosomal RNA". It matches the Rfam family "Bacterial small subunit ribosomal RNA", at positions 524 to 776 of the family's 1533-position model. The record is from RNAcentral.